AGUGAACGCUGGCGGUAGGCCUAACACAUGCAAGUCGAACGGCAGCACAGUAAGAGCUUGCUCUUACGGGUGGCGAGUGGCGGACGAGUGAGGAAUACAUCGGAAUCUACUUUUUCGUGGGGGAUAACGUAGGGAAACUUACGCUAAUACCGCAUACGACCUACGGGUGAAAGCAGGGGAUCUUCGGACCUUGCGCGAUUGAAUGAGCCGAUGUCGGAUUAGCUAGUUGGCGGGGUAAAGGCCCACCAAGGCGACGAUCCGUAGCUGGUCUGAGAGGAUGAUCAGCCACACUGGAACUGAGACACGGUCCAGACUCCUACGGGAGGCAGCAGUGGGGAAUAUUGGACAAUGGGCGAAAGCCUGAUCCAGCCAUGCCGCGUGGGUGAAGAAGGUCUUCGGAUUGUAAAGCCCUUUUGGUGGGAAAGAAAAGCAGUAGGUUAAUACCCCGCUGUUCUGACGGUACCCAAAGAAUAAGCACCGGCUAACUUCGUG
RNAcentral lists this ribosomal RNA (492 nucleotides) under uncultured bacterium. RNAcentral describes it as "partial 16S ribosomal RNA". It matches the Rfam family "Bacterial small subunit ribosomal RNA", at positions 29 to 507 of the family's 1533-position model. The record is from RNAcentral.